This 468-nucleotide ribosomal RNA is filed under the name uncultured bacterium. RNAcentral describes it as "partial 16S ribosomal RNA". It matches the Rfam family "Bacterial small subunit ribosomal RNA", at positions 39 to 507 of the family's 1533-position model. The record is from RNAcentral.
GGGGGGGGGGGGGGGGGGGGGUGACGGGGGGGAGGCGGGGGGGAGGGCCGUGCGUUUGGGGGGUGCUCGAGUGGCGAACGGGUGCGUAACACGGGAGUAACCUGCCCUUGACUUUGGGAUAGCUUAAGGAAAGUGGGGCUAAUCCCGGAUAGGAGCUCCUGCUUCCUGGUGGGGGUUGGAAAGUUUCUGCGGUUGGGGAUGGACUCGCGGCUUAUCAGCUGGUUGGUGGGGUAGUGGCUUACCAAGGCUUUGACGGGUAGCCGGCCUGAGAGGGUGACCGGCCACAUUGGGACUGAGAUACGGCCCAGACUCCUACGGGAGGCAGCAGUGGGGAAUAUUGCACAAUGGGCGGAAGCCUGAUGCAGCAACGCCGCGUGCGGGAUGACGGCCUUCGGGUUGUAAACCGCUUUCGCCUGUGACGAAGCGUGAGUGACGGUAAUGGGUAAAGAAGCACCGGCUAACUACGUG